CCUACGGGAGGCAGCAGUAGGGAAUCUUCCACAAUGGGCGAAAGCCUGAUGGAGCAACGCCGCGUGAGCGAAGAAGGUCUUCGGAUCGUAAAGCUCUGUUGUAAGGGAAGAACAAGUGCGGUAGUAACUGACCGCACCCUGACGGUACCUUACGAGAAAGCCACGGCUAACUACGUGCCAGCAGCCGCGGUAAU
RNAcentral lists this ribosomal RNA (194 nucleotides) under uncultured Bacillus sp. RNAcentral's name for it is "partial 16S ribosomal RNA". It matches the Rfam family "Bacterial small subunit ribosomal RNA", at positions 338 to 524 of the family's 1533-position model. Lineage: Bacteria; Bacillati; Bacillota; Bacilli; Caryophanales; Bacillaceae. The record is from RNAcentral. RNAcentral also lists the same sequence under 1 other name.